Physeter macrocephalus (sperm whale) is the source of this 697-nucleotide long non-coding RNA. RefSeq lists it as uncharacterized. NCBI's taxonomy places the organism in Eukaryota, Metazoa, Chordata, Mammalia, Artiodactyla, Physeteridae. The record is from RefSeq and is a predicted model, not a curated record. The transcript is spliced from 3 exons.
AUCCGAUGGGCUCGGGAGCCGGACGGCCUGGCCUGGGUUUGCACCAGGGUCUGAGGCUUGUCUCCUCGCGGGCAGGACGGAGAGCGCACGGGUUACGGGUGCCAACAUUUUAGAGCUUGUGCCGCGUGCCAGGAGCCUCACAACGACCCUGUCCGAAGAGAUUGAGGCUGCCCCAAAGCCAGAGGAGCCCCGGCCGCCGGCCUCCGCGGAGCGCCGCGGGAACUUCCACCGACUCUCCCUUCAGGCGCCGCCGCCCGCACGCUCCGAUCCGCGAUACCAUGGAAACCGCCUCCCAGCACCCCCCGCGGCAGCCGAGCCAGCCUAAGCGCAGGCACCAGGCGGCCGGAGCCGGCCCGAGCAGACCCGAGCUCGCCCUCCGACCCCGGCACGAAGACGAGGGCGGGCGGAGGCAGGGCCUUUUUCUCCCCUGCACAAUCUAGACGCCGUCCUCCCCCAGCCAAGACCGCAUUCUCCGGUACCUGUUGUUACUUCCUGCUUCCCGACGGCACUCUUUGGAGCUUCACUCACACGUUGAUGACAUGAGUAAGGAACUUCUCUGCUGAGUCGAAUAAUAGUGUCAAGUACUGGAAGAGUUAUUUCCUCAACUUGUGCUAUUCAUGAGAAAACGAAGAGGAAAAUAUUUAACAAGGCUAAAUAAAGAAAGGAAAUAAACUAAUUCAAAUGUAAUGAAACCGGG